AACGUAGGAGACAAACGUUAUCCGGAGUUACUGGGCGUAAAGGGCGUGUAGGCGGUUUGUUAAGUCUGGCGUGAAAGCUCUCGGCUAAACCGGGAGAGGUCGUUGGAUACUGGCAGACUAGAGGACGGUAGAGGCGUGUGGAAUUCCGGGUGUAGUGGUGAAAUGCGCAGAUAUCAGGAGGAACACCGGUGGCGAAGGCGGGUCUCUGGGCCGAUACUGACGCUGAGGUGCGAAAGCGUGGGGAGCAAACAGG
This 253-nucleotide ribosomal RNA is filed under the name uncultured bacterium. Its description in RNAcentral is "partial 16S ribosomal RNA". It matches the Rfam family "Bacterial small subunit ribosomal RNA", at positions 524 to 776 of the family's 1533-position model. The record is from RNAcentral.